Long non-coding RNA from Mandrillus leucophaeus (drill), 789 nucleotides. RefSeq lists it as uncharacterized. Lineage: Eukaryota; Metazoa; Chordata; Mammalia; Primates; Cercopithecidae. The transcript is spliced from 4 exons. The record is from RefSeq and is a predicted model, not a curated record.
AUGUCAAUUUGGUGGCUUUACGAGCAAGGGUAGGAACAAAGGGGGGCAGUUGGAGAAGGGGAAGAAGAGGAGAAGAGGUGAAGUCAUCAAUGUCUACAGCUUCAUCUAUUGCCCCUGUGUGCAGAUGGUGCUUACUCUCCCUUGUGCCUUCCAGACGUGCAUUCCAGCCACCUACCAAACCCCUUUCCUUGGAUGCCAAGAAAAGUCUUCAGACCGUGGACAAUGUACUCUUUGCCUGUAUUACGGAGAAAGGCGUUCCCUAGGAUGAUGACACAAGGAUUUAAUGAGUAGAAGACAACAACUUAAAACCUCUCAUUUGAGCAUGACUUGUCUAGGUUAAAGGUGGGCAUUGAGAUCCCAUUAGCUACUGGCACAAUUGCGAAAAGAAAUGUACAUAUGCACAGACACACUUUAAAGCAAGACGUCAUAAAAAUACAGCGAUGCCUGUUUAACUCAGACCCAAAAAUGGAAUUAAAGCCAAAACUAACCCCUCUACUAAUUAGAGAAGUAAAAAUGUCGUCACCCCAAGUGUCCCAGCACAACGUGAAUCCAAAACAAGCUGCUUUCUUUGGAUUCCACUUAUUUAUUUACUUUAAAAAGAAUAUUUGAAGAAAAUGACACCCUGUAAAAGAACAGUUGGAGAAAACAUGGGACGCCAUACAUUGGAAGAGAAAUGGAGACGGAGUACACAGUUACAACACGAUUUUUUUUUUUUUCUUGUUGAAACACAUGAUAAUGGGCUAAUAAAAAUCUGGUUACCUUUACAUUUCUUCUCCUCCGUUUGGAAGG